RNAcentral lists this ribosomal RNA (253 nucleotides) under uncultured bacterium. RNAcentral describes it as "partial 16S ribosomal RNA". It matches the Rfam family "Bacterial small subunit ribosomal RNA", at positions 524 to 776 of the family's 1533-position model. The record is from RNAcentral.
UACGUAGGGUGCGAGCGUUGUCCGGAAUUAUUGGGCGUAAAGGGCUCGUAGGCGGCUUGUCGCGUCGACUGUGAAAACCCACGGCUCAACUGUGGGCUUGCAGUCGAUACGGGCAGGCUAGAGUUCGGUAGGGGAGACUGGAAUUCCUGGUGUAGCGGUGAAAUGCGCAGAUAUCAGGAGGAACACCGGUGGCGAAGGCGGGUCUCUGGGCCGAUACUGACGCUGAGGAGCGAAAGCGUGGGGAGCGAACAGG